GAGUCAUUGUAGCAUACAAGGCAUACGGCUCAGUAACGCGUAGUCAAUCUAACCUAUGGACGGGAAUAACCUCGGGAAACUGAGAAUAAUGCCCGAUAGAACAUUAUGCCUGGAAUGGUUUAUGUUCCAAAUGAUUUAUCGCCGUAGGAUGGGACUGCGGCCUAUCAGUUUGUUGGUGAGGUAAUGGCCCACCAAGACUAUUACAGGUACGGGCUCUGAGAGGAGUAGCCCGGAGAUGGGUACUGAGACACGGACCCAGGCCCUAUGGGGCGCAGCAGGCGAGAAAACUUUGCAAUGUGCGAAAGCACGACAAGGUUAAUCCGAGUGGUUUCUGCUAAAGAAACCUUUUGUCAGUCCUAGAAACACUGAUGAAUAAGGGGUGGGCAAGUUCUGGUGUCAGCCGCCGCGGUAAAACCAGCACCUCAAGUGGUCAGGAUGAUUAUUGGGCCUAAAGCAUCCGUAGCCGGCUCUGUAAGUUUUCGGUUAAAUCUGUACGCUCAACGUACAGGCUGCCGGGAAUACUGCAGAGCUAGGGAGUGGGAGAGGUAGACGGUACUCGGUAGGAAGGGGUAAAAUCCUUUGAUCUAUUGAUGACCACCUGUGGCGAAGGCGGUCUACCAAAACACGUCCGACGGUGAGGGAUGAAAAGCUGGGGGAGCAAACCGGAUUAGAUACCCGGGUAGUCCCCAGCUG
RNAcentral lists this ribosomal RNA (693 nucleotides) under uncultured crenarchaeote. RNAcentral describes it as "bacterial SSU rRNA". It matches the Rfam family "Archaeal small subunit ribosomal RNA", at positions 55 to 753 of the family's 1478-position model. The record is from RNAcentral. Lineage: Archaea; Thermoproteati; Thermoproteota.